RNAcentral lists this ribosomal RNA (452 nucleotides) under uncultured organism. Its description in RNAcentral is "partial 16S ribosomal RNA". It matches the Rfam family "Bacterial small subunit ribosomal RNA", at positions 331 to 799 of the family's 1533-position model. The record is from RNAcentral.
GUACACUCCUGCGGGAGGCAGCAGUGGGGAAUAUUGGACAAUGGGCGCAAGCCUGAUCCAGCCAUGCCGCGUGAGUGAUGAAGGCCCUAGGGUUGUAAAGCUCUUUCACCGGUGAAGAUAAUGACGGUAACCGGAGAAGAAGCCCCGGCUAACUUCGUGCCAGCAGCCGCGGUAAUACGAAGGGGGCUAGCGUUGUUCGGAUUUACUGGGCGUAAAGCGCACGUAGGCGGACUAUUAAGUCAGGGGUGAAAUCCCGGGGCUCAACCCCGGAACUGCCUUUGAUACUGGUAGUCUUGAGUUCGAGAGAGGUGAGUGGAAUUCCGAGUGUAGAGGUGAAAUUCGUAGAUAUUCGGAGGAACACCAGUGGCGAAGGCGGCUCACUGGCUCGAUACUGACGCUGAGGUGCGAAAGCGUGGGGAGCAAACAGGAUUAGAAACCCCAGUAGUCCCAUG